Long non-coding RNA from Triplophysa dalaica, 1356 nucleotides. RefSeq lists it as uncharacterized. NCBI's taxonomy places the organism in Eukaryota, Metazoa, Chordata, Actinopteri, Cypriniformes, Nemacheilidae. The transcript has 3 exons. The record is from RefSeq and is a predicted model, not a curated record.
GGUUACACUGGAUGCUGAUACUAACUCUCCAAACCCACAGCAAGGAUUUUGGAUGAAAGCAAUACACUACACAAGCUUGCCCAUCAGCCGCUCAGCUAGGUCAACAAACAUCCUGAUCUUUCCUGAAGCCAACCGUCAAUUACCACACAGACACAUGGCCUUCUUGCUGUCUUAAAUAAAGUGUCCGACACGCCGCAGAGUGACACAUAUCAAUACCAAUCUGACAGGCCCUGUUGCCACCUCAGCUACAGAAGAGACAAGCUGCACCUGCCUCACCGUGGGACAUGUGUCUGUUCACCACAUCCCCCCGCAGACACACACACACACACACGUCACUGGUUUCUGUAUUUGCUGAGUGCCCUGUGCUAUUUUCCGAAGCCCAUUAUUAUAUUCAUUUCAGAACGGCGUCUGAAGCCUGUUGGUCUGGUACCUGGGGCUGCGGAGCCCUGCUGCUGUACAGUGAUUUGUCGUGACAUUCUGACAGCGGCCGGGGAGAGAGGGCAUGAGAGGAAAAGAACAUGGUCUUAACAGAGCCACCGCUGGCCCGGGCUCUGGGUGGCUGCUGGGUGUGCCCCUCUCACCCGUGUUAGGGGGCAGGUGUCACUACGCGGUGAGGGGCAUCAGUCAGACUGGAGCUUCAUCUGACUGGAGAGGAUCAAUCUCGUACCUUAAUGCAAGUGGACACGACACAGAGGAUGCAGGAAGAAUGAAGUGGAGAAGAUGAGGGGUGAUUAACAACAUGACACUGAGAACAUCUCCCCCUUCUCACAAACAAGCCACCUCCCUCUCUGACAUCCUCGGACCAUCGCCAGCUCGGCGCACAUCCCCUGACAGUUUUAGUUCCAUCCAUCCAUCCAUUUUCUACCGCUUAUCCGAACUACCUCGGGUCACGGGGAGCCUGUGCCUAUCUCAGGAGUCAUCGGGCAUCAAGGCAGGAUACACCCUGGAUGGAGUGCCAACCCAUCGCAGGGCACACACACUCACUCAUUCACUCGCGCACUCACACCCUACGGACAAUUUUUCCAGAGAUGCCAAUCAACCUACCAUGCAUGUCUUUGGACCAGGGGAGGAAACCGGAGUACCCGGAGGAAACCCCUGAGGCACGGGGAGAACAUGCAAACUCCACACACACAAGUCGGAAGCGGGAAUCGAACCCCCAGCACUGGAGGUGUGAGGCGAACGUGCUAACCACUAAGCCACCGUGCCCCCCAGUUUUAGUUCAAUUAUUUUAUAAUAAACAUACCUACAAUUUAUAUGUGUUUUCGAUUCUUCAAGCUUUUUCCGGCAGAGAGGGGAGGGGUUUGGAAUCGCACAGAGAUUCAAAAUGGAGCGGCACUCAGCAUUUGUUUGCUGGAU